GACGAACGCUGGCGGCGUGCCUAAUACAUGCAAGUAGAGCGCUGAAGAGAGGAGCUUGCUCUUCUUGGAUGAGUUGCGAACGGGUGAGUAACGCGUAGGUAACCUGCCUUGUAGCGGGGGAUAACUAUUGGAAACGAUAGCUAAUACCGCAUAACAAUGGAUGACACAUGUCAUUUAUUUGAAAGGGGCAAUUGCUCCACUACAAGAUGGACCUGCGUUGUAUUAGCUAGUAGGUGAGGUAAUGGCUCACCUAGGCGACGAUACAUAGCCGACCUGAGAGGGUGAUCGGCCACACUGGGACUGAGACACGGCCCAGACUCCUACGGGAGGCAGCAGUAGAGAAUCUUCGGCAAUGGGGGCAACCCUGACCGAGCAACGCCGCGUGAGUGAAGAAGGUUUUCGGAUCGUAAAGCUCUGUUGUAAGUCAAGAACGGGUGUGAGAGUGGAAAGUUCACACUGUGACGGUAGCUUACCAGAAAGGGACGGCUAACCACGUG
RNAcentral lists this ribosomal RNA (497 nucleotides) under uncultured bacterium. Its description in RNAcentral is "partial 16S ribosomal RNA". It matches the Rfam family "Bacterial small subunit ribosomal RNA", at positions 28 to 507 of the family's 1533-position model. The record is from RNAcentral.